RNAcentral lists this ribosomal RNA (930 nucleotides) under uncultured bacterium. RNAcentral's name for it is "bacterial SSU rRNA". It matches the Rfam family "Bacterial small subunit ribosomal RNA", at positions 33 to 953 of the family's 1533-position model. The record is from RNAcentral.
ACGCUAGCUACAGGCUUAACACAUGCAAGUCGAGGGGAAACGACAUUGAAGCUUGCUUCGAUGGGCGUCGACCGGCGCACGGGUGAGUAACGCGUAUCCAACCUGCCUCUGACUAAGGGAUAACCCGGCGAAAGUCGGACUAAUACCUUAUGAGGUUUUCUGCAGACAUCUAAUGAAAACGAAAGAUUUAUCGGUCAGUGAUGGGGAUGCGUCUGAUUAGCUUGUUGGCGGGGUAACGGCCCACCAAGGCAACGAUCAGUAGGGGUUCUGAGAGGAAGGUCCCCCACAUUGGAACUGAGACACGGUCCAAACUCCUACGGGAGGCAGCAGUGAGGAAUAUUGGUCAAUGGGCGAGAGCCUGAACCAGCCAAGUAGCGUGCAGGAAGACGGCCCUAUGGGUUGUAAACUGCUUUUAUGUGGGGAUAAAGUGAGCUACGUGUAGUUUAUUGCAGGUACCACAUGAAUAAGGACCGGCUAAUUCCGUGCCAGCAGCCGCGGUAAUACGGAAGGUCCAGGCGUUAUCCGGAUUUAUUGGGUUUAAAGGGAGCGUAGGCCGUGGAUUAAGCGUGUUGUGAAAUGUGGACGCUCAACGUCUGAAUUGCAGCGCGAACUGGUUCACUUGAGUAUGCACAACGUAGGCGGAAUUCGUCGUGUAGCGGUGAAAUGCUUAGAUAUGACGAAGAACUCCGAUUGCGAAGGCAGCUUACGGGAGCACAACUGACGCUGAAGCUCGAAGGCGCGGGUAUCAAACAGGAUUAGAUACCCUGGUAGUCCGCACAGUAAACGAUGGAUGCCCGUUGUUAGUUCACCUAAGAAUUAGCGACCAAGCGAAAGCAUUAAGCAUCCCACCUGGGGAGUACGCCGGCAACGGUGAAACUCAAAGGAAUUGACGGGGGCCCGCACAAGCGGAGGAACAUGUGGUUUAAUUCG